CUUCCAGUACAAUCACUCCGCACCAAAAGAGUAGCCAUCCUGGCGACCUAAGGAUAGGAAAACACAGGAGCGUCAUGACACUGCUUGAGCCGGGAGACGUGGACAAUUUCCUGGCCGUGACAACGCUGGUCAGGAGGCGCUUCCAUUGGCUCGGAGUCGUGGGUGCUGGGACUGCGAUCAAAAUUUAGAAACAUGAGAAAGAAGACAAAACAUCCUUCCGAGGAAAUGGGGGCGAUAAACGCAAAAGCCACCACACAGCCACAAAGGUGCUCCCGUCAAAUGCGACCAACAAAAAGUUGUGCCGUCUGUUUUGUAUUUUCCAGAACCACCAUUGCGACAGUCACCGUCACCAUUUGGCCGAUCGUGGGAGCCAAAAAAACACGCUGCUGCUCUCUGCAUUUUCUUCCAUGGUGAAGUGCUGAAAUCGUGGAAAUCCCAUGGAGUCCAACUGUCAACCGAUUCCAAUAAAAAAUAAUUGUUCUCCCCUUCA
Molecule: long non-coding RNA, 490 nt
Organism: Dermacentor andersoni
Lineage: Eukaryota; Metazoa; Arthropoda; Arachnida; Ixodida; Ixodidae
Source: RefSeq, a predicted model, not a curated record